UUGUUCAUUAGAAUCUGUAGCGCCUUUUC
Molecule: non-coding RNA, 29 nt
Filed under: Mus musculus (house mouse)
Lineage: Eukaryota; Metazoa; Chordata; Mammalia; Rodentia; Muridae
Source: RNAcentral